GUGUGCCUGUGUGUGUCCAUGUGUGAGUGUGGCGGUCAGAGACAACUCGGGGGAGUUGGCUUUGUCCUACCAGGUGCAUUCUGGGAUCAAACUCAAGGGUGUCAGGUGCCAUUAUGUACUGAGCCAUCUUACGGCUCUGUCUUAUUUCUUGAUACAGGGUUUCUCUCUGAACUUCCACCUUGUUGUUUUGGCUAAACUGGCUAUGCAGAGAGCUCUGGGGAUCAACCUGUCUCCGUCUCCCUCUGCUUGGAGUUUGCAGGCAUGCACCACCACAGCUGGCUUUUAUAUGGGUUCUGGGGGCCCUCAUGCUGCUACGGGCAAGCACUCUACCCACUGAGCUAUUCUCUCCCUCAGUUCAGGUUCAGGAUGUUUUUACUCGUCGAUGUAUUUUAGUACGUCUCUGUAUAAAGUAGGGCAAUCCCCACCCCCACCAAUUUACCAUCUAGCAUGAGUCUUGGGAAAUUUGGGAUGGAUAUCAUUAUUGUUUUUUAAUGUCAACUCAAGAGAAAGAGUUUAAAUUUGCCACAUGGAGUCAUUGACAUGUAACGGGGCUGAGGGUCUUGAGUAAGGAUUAGUUGGUGAACUUGCCUUUGAUUUUGGUGAAAACCUUGAUGUUCUGGGAUCUCUGGGCUUUAGAUGAGUGGCCAAUAGCCUACUUUGGAAAACCAUUUGUGCUGGAACAUGAACUUGGCUUCUUUGAGUGCAGGAAUUCUGCUGCUUAGCAGACCACAGUUGACUUUGUUUUUAGGUUGCCUUGGUGUAACAAAGUGUCCCUUAUCCCUUUGGAGUGGCCCCUGCCAGCCGUCACCUGCCAAGUGGUUCCCGUCUGGGUCAGUGUUCUGAGCUAGGAAAUGAGGUCUGAGCAGCGGUUUACUCGCCUACCAGCCAUGCCUCGCUCUGUACCUUGGGACACUGGGAAGCCAAGGACUCGGCCUAGUUCACUGUUUAUUUAUUAAUUUUCCACUUGAAAGUGCAUAUUAAAUGGUUUUUGACUGUUUCCUGUUGCUCGAGACUCUGCCGUGGAGUUUAAUGCACACUGGAGAGACAGACCCUGCUCCUCUUAAGCUUAUUGUACCAAAGCAAAGGAAAACAAGUUAGCUCAGGAACUGUCAGGCCUCCAGGGGUCACAUGAUCUUGACUGGUCUGGACCGGUGGCUGGAGGGAGGCUCUGGUCUGAGAAAGGACCUCUGUCACCACGGGAAUGAAGACCAAUUCCUGGAGCUGGUGGAGGCAGGAAGGAGGCAGCUCCCGAGGCUCCUGGACCCCAGACUUUAAGCGCUGCCAUUGAAUAAUUCCCUCCCUGUUUAGGAAGUGCCUGGCUUGGGACAACAUAGUGGGAAUACAUAUUAGUACAUUUCCUUUAAUCUUGACCAAGAAGAAAUUAGAGAAUUCUGGAAAUUUAUGAAAUUUCUUCUGGAUUCUUUCAUCUGUAUAACUGGCAUGGAAGCAGACGUGUGACAGAUAGACUGUUUAUCUUCCAGCCACAGCUGGUUGAUCAGGGACUUUUCAUACUCCGUUCCCAGGACGUCAGAAUUAGAUCAAGAAAGUAGCCUGGUUUCUUGUCUGAUAGUGGAAGCAGGGGACAGUAGGGACGAGUUCCUGGGGGCAUGCACUCGGAUUUAGCAUGAACAGCAGAGACAGGAGCACAUGGGCUAAAUCAGAGGGAUAGGGUAUUUUCUGGGACCCCCCUAGGAACUCCAGGCUCCUCUAGAUCCUCCUAGAAUCCGCUAUCUUGCUGGAAAAUUAAAAAUUACACACGAGGCCCGCAAGGUCUUCUCUGGGUAGCCUUGUGCCUACUGGAUUCUGUGUUCACAGUGAAUCCCGGCUCCUCCCCGCCCCUCCAGCGCUCCAAUCGGGCUCCUCAGGUUUCGGCCCUGUGUGGACUGCUCACCCAUGGCAUCUGCUUGCCUCUUUGCCUCCAUUUCCUGGGACUCCUCGCCAGGCUCCUCACGCUCCACCAGCUGGAAGUGACGGUUGUCUUCCGGGUGCUGCCCCUUCACCCUGCCCGGCUUGGGGACUCGGGUUCUUACUGAACCGUUUUUCAAUGGGCAGUGCGAGUCCUGUGGCCCAUCCAGAAAGCGUCACCUUGUUUUAGUACCUAGAAUGCAUUGAGGAGAUUGGAGUGACUCUGCACAACAGGGCGUGUGUUUCCUGCCCUGGACAGCGGACCAUUUCGUAAGAUGUCUUCAGCCUUUCCUAUCUCUGGCAUCCCCUCAACCCCGUGCACCUUGUGGAUGGUGUCUCAUUUCUGUGCUUUCAACACCAAGACUGACAUCUUCCUGAAGAGACGCUGAGUACCUGGCAGGAUGUGCAUGGCCAGGUGUCUCUGGCGUCCCUGCACCGACCGCUGCUUUCGCCUGCGCCGGUAUUGGAACCCCAUUUAGAUGGAUGAGUCAGUGAGGCCCCCCCCCCCCCCGGGGAAGCGGUGUUCGGUUAGUAUAGAUCUUCCUCCUGCUGCUGGAAACAGAGGUUCCCCUGGGAUUCUGUCUGGAAAUCUUACUGGAUUGGCAAGACCUAAGUUAAUACAGACGCCCCCCUCCAAAGACGGCGAAGGCUCCCGCACUGGGCCUUGAGAUGUUUUUAGACGUCUGUCCCAGGAGUCUUGCUGAUAAGGAAGUUUAAGGGAAACUGAAGCAGGGAAGUCUGUUUUCUCCAUAGUCCUCCACCCAUGUCCUGUCCCCAGAGUGCCCUUUCAUCUCUUCUCCCCCUUUCUCGCCUUCCUCUCCCACCCAUGUGCACAUUACCUUGGGCCCUGUUUCAAAACAAAUUAAUGACUAAUGACAGAAGUUGCCAAGUGAUCCCCUUAAUGGAAAAGUUUUAUUCUCCCCCCCUCCUCUCCUGCUUUGUUUCCUAUAAUAUAAGUAAAUAGUUUCAUGACAAAGUACUCCUUCCCCAGUCAAGUGCAAAGCCUUCAUACUCACCUAAAAGUCCUCUUGGCUAUUGGCUGUGGACCAGCAUCUCACGGGGACAAAGUAUGGAACGAGGAUCAGGCUCAGGUCUGAGUCCGUGUCAGUCACUUUCUCAAUGAUGUGGCAUAAUACCCGACAGAUGCAUCAUGGAGAAGGAAGGGUUUAUUUUGGGUCACAGUUGUAGGGCACAGUUCGUCAUGGGAGGAACAUUCUCCAGAGUGGAGUGCUGAUACCUAGCUCUCUGCUCUUUUAAAUUCAGUCCAUGAGGAUGAUGCCACUCAAAUCUCGCCUGAGUCUCUGCACCUCCGCUCCCCUCCCAGACACGCCCAGAGCUUUGUUUCCUAGGUGAUUCUAUUCUGUAACAUUGACAUAAUUACUAGCGCACAGUCCCAGCGUUUGCUUACACUGGACAGAAGACACCAUGCUCCAUAUUCAGACAUUUGUCUGAUGCACAGGGACACUGCCCUCGACCCUGUGUGUGUAUGAAAAAUAGAAGAGGAGCGGGCAUUCUGAGGGUGCUUAUUGACAAACAGCUCCCACCCGGGAGAUGGGUGACUGCCCAGUCUCGGCCGUGAGUCCGAGGAGCACGCCUCAAUCGUAUCUUCAGCCACCCCUGAUGUGGUGCUUCUAAAAUGCUCUUGUAAGAACUGUAGCACACUCCAGUGUCCCCGCUUCUGCAGUGCUGCUUUGCAAAUGCACGUUCCAAGGGAGGAGGGAGACUCUGGAAUCGUCCCCAGGAGUUUUUGUGUUCACUGCAAUGUGCUGUUUGACAUGUGUGCCCUCUGGGAGGUGAAUGGAUCUCUGGGUGUGAGAGUGCUGCAUUAUGGGACCUAAGAGCCACAGGAUGGCCAGCGGUUUGCUGUGGUAAAGCCUGACUGCUCCUCAGGCGCCCAGUCAGCAUGAACAUUUGGCCGUUAGGAUUGUUUAUUGGCAGGAGGGGAAUCUGUCUGCUUUGUCUGGGCAUCAGCCUCCUGCUCUCCAUGGAGGUACUCGUGGGGCUUUAUGGUAACUCAAGGAUACAGAAGAGGCUUUGUUACAUUUUCUUAAGUGUAAAUAAAAUCGAGACUCUGUCUUAAAUUCCAAUAAAUCUAUGUGUUACACAGA
This is a non-coding RNA of Myodes glareolus (Bank vole), 4013 nucleotides long. The record is from RefSeq and is a predicted model, not a curated record. NCBI's taxonomy places the organism in Eukaryota, Metazoa, Chordata, Mammalia, Rodentia, Cricetidae.